This 529-nucleotide ribosomal RNA is filed under the name bacterium enrichment culture clone Cont36_3130. RNAcentral's name for it is "bacterial SSU rRNA". It matches the Rfam family "Bacterial small subunit ribosomal RNA", at positions 8 to 525 of the family's 1533-position model. The record is from RNAcentral.
AGAGUUUGAUCCUGGCUCAGAACGAACGCUGGCGGCGUGCUUAACACAUGCCAAGUCGAACGCGAAAAGUUUUCUUCGGAAGACGAGUAGAGUGGCGCACGGGUGAGUAACGCGUAAGUAAUCUACCCCGGCAUCUGGAAUAACUCACCGAAAGGUGUGCUAAUACCGGAUACGUUGGUAACAAGAAAGGUGGCCUCUGCAUAUGCUACCGUGCUGGGAUGAGCUUGCGUACCAUUAGCUAGUUGGUAGGGUAAAGGCCUACCAAGGCGACGAUGGUUAGCGGGUCUGAGAGGAUGAUCCGCCACACUGGAACUGGAACACGGACCAGACUCCUACGGGAGGCAGCAGUGAGGAAUAUUGCGCAAUUGGGGCAACCCUGACGCAGCGACGCCGCGUGGAUGAUGAAGGCCUUCGGGUCGUAAAAUCCUGUCAGAUGGAAAGAAGUGCAUAGUGGGUUAAUACCCGCUAUGUUUGACGGUACCACCGAAGGAAAGCACCGGCUAACUCCGUGCCGGCCGCCGCGGUAAUA